UUGAUUGUUGGUCCUCCCUUGAUUGUUUGCACCUGUGUCUCGUUGUCUCACCUCCCCUAGGGUAUUUAGUCUGGGUCUUUUCUUUGUUCAGUGUUGGAUCAUCGUUGUACACAUGGUGCUGUUCCUGCCAAGCGUAUUUACUUUACAGGAAGUGCUGACAGACAGUUGUCACCAGCAGUGUGGCUGCCGCCCUGGGUCACAGUUAUUACAACGAUCCAUCAAAGGCCUAAUCCUUUUACAGGUAUGUUUACACAUACAAGACUGCGGAGUGUCACCAUCACCAAACAUGUUGAAUGACAUACCGAAAGAUCUACUAAAGCAACUCAGACCAGCCGUUUGCCAUGCCAGGAAGCAUGGCAAGAGGGGUGGCAUCAGGCAUUGUGUCCAGAGAGCCACCAAACUACCACUACCACUGUCUAUGCUACUCUGCAAUCUUCGCCCCUUGAAGAACAAGUUGGAUGCAGUGUACACACACGCUGGAGCCUGCUAUGAGUAUUGCUUGUUGGUUGCUUGAUGAGAUCUUUAUACAGAUCGAUGGGUUUUCCCAUUUACGCCCCAAUAGAGAUGAGAAGGGUUGGAGGGAUCUGUGUUUAUAGUGAAGACAGUUGGUGCCGUAAUUUUGCAAUCAGAGACAGUAUAUGCAACUCAGACCUGGAACUGCUGUGCAUCACCUUGCGAACACAUUACCUGCCAAGGGAAUUUACCAACUUAUUGAUGUGUGUAUUCCACCAAAUGGGAGUGCCACCAGAGCAGCUACACCAGCAAUCUACAAACUAUGCCUGAUGCACCUAUGGUGACCCUAGGUGAUUUUAAACAUUGCAGAUUGCUGCCCAACCUUUCACCAACAUGUAAAGUAUAGCACAAGGAAUAACCAUAUUCUUGACAAGUGCCAUGGUAAUAUUAAGGAUGCCUACACAGCCAGAGCUAGGCCUCCUCUUGGUAACUCUAAUCAUAAUGUCAUCGAACUGCUUCCCACCUAAUUGUCCAGUCUUUAAGUCCAGUAAACUAGUAAUUAGGACUGUAAAUGUGUGGUCUACUGACCAUACAGAGGAGCUGACAAGAUGCUCUCUCUGCACAGACUGGGACCUUUUCUUCCAGGAUGCAGAUAUUGACAUGGUCACAGAAUCAAUUACUGCUGUCUUAUCUCUUUGUGUUGAUUUAAUCAUAACUCAGAAAACUGUUGAGAUAUCCCAAUAAUCAUCCCUACAUCACAAAAGAAAUUAAAGAGUGUAUAAAUACGAAGAGUUUUUGGUGUCUGCAGGAAUAUUAUGCUCAUUUUUACAGAGCUACCAUAUUAUCCAUUUUAUGUUAUGGUAUUACCAGCUGGUUUGGAAACCUAACGGACAAGUUUAUGGCUCAAAUCCUAAAUCUGGUUCAGACAGCAGGGAAGAUUAU
This is a long non-coding RNA of Siniperca chuatsi (mandarin fish), 1395 nucleotides long. RefSeq lists it as uncharacterized. The record is from RefSeq and is a predicted model, not a curated record. The transcript is spliced from 3 exons. NCBI's taxonomy places the organism in Eukaryota, Metazoa, Chordata, Actinopteri, Centrarchiformes, Sinipercidae.